GACGAACGCUGGCGGCGUGCCUAAUACAUGCAAGUUGAGCGAUGAAGAUUGGUGCUUGCACCAAUUUGAAGAGCAGCGCACGGGUGAGUAACGCGUGGGGAAUCUGCCUUUGAGCGGGGGACAACAUUUGGAAACGAAUGCUAAUACCGCAUAACAACUUUAAACAUAAGUUUUAAGUUUGAAAGAUGCAAUUGCAUCACUCAAAGAUGAUCCCGCGUUGUAUUAGCUAGUUGGUGAGGUAAAGGCUCACCAAGGCGAUGAUACAUAGCCGACCUGAGAGGGUGAUCGGCCACAUUGGGACUGAGACACGGCCCAAACUCCUACGGGAGGCAGCAGGAGGGAAUCUUCGGCAAUGGACGAAAGUCUGACCGAGCAACGCCGAGUGAGUGAAGAAGGUUUUCGGAUCGUAAAACUCUGUUGGUAGAGAAGAACGUUGGUGAGAGUGGAAAGCUCAUCAAGUGACGGUAACUACCCAGAAAGGGACGGCUAACUACGUG
RNAcentral lists this ribosomal RNA (497 nucleotides) under uncultured bacterium. RNAcentral describes it as "partial 16S ribosomal RNA". It matches the Rfam family "Bacterial small subunit ribosomal RNA", at positions 28 to 507 of the family's 1533-position model. The record is from RNAcentral.